This 430-nucleotide ribosomal RNA is filed under the name uncultured bacterium. RNAcentral's name for it is "partial 16S ribosomal RNA". It matches the Rfam family "Bacterial small subunit ribosomal RNA", at positions 29 to 506 of the family's 1533-position model. The record is from RNAcentral.
AGCGAACGCUGGCGGCAGGCCUAAUACAUGCAAGUCGAACGGCUCUUCGGAGCAGUGGCGGACGGGUGAGUAACGCGUGGGAACGUGCCCUUUGGUUCGGAACAACACAGGGAAACUUGUGCUAAUACCGAAUGUGCCCUUCGGGGGAAAGAUUUAUCGCCAUUGGAGCGGCCCGCGUUGGAUUAGCUAGUUGGUGGGGUAAAGGCCCACCAAGGCGACGAUCCAUAGCUGGGCUGAGAGGAUGAUCAGCCACACUGGGACUGAGACACGGCCCAGACUCCUACGGGAGGCAGCAGUAGGGAAUCUUGCGCAAUGGGCGAAAGCCUGACGCAGCCAUGCCGCGUGAAUGAUGAAGGUCUUAGGAUUGUAAAAUUCUUUCACCGGGGAAGAUAAUGACGGUACCCGGAGAAGAAGCCCCGGCUAACUUCGU